This is a long non-coding RNA of Oxyura jamaicensis (ruddy duck), 377 nucleotides long. RefSeq lists it as uncharacterized. The record is from RefSeq and is a predicted model, not a curated record. Lineage: Eukaryota; Metazoa; Chordata; Aves; Anseriformes; Anatidae. The transcript is spliced from 4 exons.
GGCUCGGCGCCGGGCCGGGAGGCGGUGCCUGGACGGGAAGGGCCGGGAGCCGCCGCCUCCAGCCUCCGGUUCGCCGCUGCAACCCUUCCGGGUCGGCAGCCAGGGUGCCGCGGGGCCCGUAGCAGCGCUGCGGCCGUCCCCGAUAUGGAUAACCAGAAGGAUGAAAAAAGCAGGACACUCUGUGCAACCUCACAGGAAGAGCUGAAAGGCCGGGGUAAAGAAAAAAGGAAGCGAAAACGUAGUAGAAGCAGAUCAUCAUCUGUUUCAUCCACAUCAUCUUCUAGUACUGCAUCCUCUUCUUCCUCCUCCUCACGCUCAUCAUCAAGGUCGUCUUCUUCAAGUAGCAGAGAUUCUCCUAAGUCUAAAUCGAAGAAAAG